UACGAAGGGGGCUAGCGUUGUUCGGAAUCACUGGGCGUAAAGCGCACGCAGGCGGAUUGAUAAGUCAGGGGUGAAAUCCCGGGGCUCAACCUCGGAAUUGCCUUUGAUACUGUCUGUCUUGAGUCCGGGAGAGGUGAGUGGAAUUCCUAGUGUAGAGGUGAAAUUCGUAGAUAUCUGGAGGAACACCGGUGGCGAAGGCGGCAUCCUGGACCGAGAUCGACGCUGAGGCGCGAAAGCUAGGGGAGCAAACGGG
RNAcentral lists this ribosomal RNA (253 nucleotides) under uncultured bacterium. RNAcentral describes it as "partial 16S ribosomal RNA". It matches the Rfam family "Bacterial small subunit ribosomal RNA", at positions 524 to 776 of the family's 1533-position model. The record is from RNAcentral.